GGGUUGUGAGGUUAAGCGACUAAGCGUACACGGUGGAUGCCCUGGCAGUCAGAGGCGAUGAAGGACGUGCUAAUCUGCGAUAAGCGUCGGUAAGGUGAUAUGAACCGUUAUAACCGGCGAUUUCCGAAUGGGGAAACCCAGUGUGAUUCGUCACACUAUCAUUAACUGAAUCCAUAGGUUAAUGAGGCGAACCGGGGGAACUGAAACAUCUAAGUACCCCGAGGAAAAGAAAUCAACCGAGAUUCCCCCAGUAGCGGCGAGCGAACGGGGAGCAGCCCAGAGCCUGAAUCAGUGUGUGUGUUAGUGGAAGCGUCUGGAAAGGCGUGCGAUACAGGGUGACAGCCCCGUACACAAAAAUGCACAUACUGUGAGCUCGAUGAGUAGGGCGGGACACGUGGUAUCCUGUCUGAAUAUGGGGGGACCAUCCUCCAAGGCUAAAUACUCCUGACUGACCGAUAGUGAACCAGUACCGUGAGGGAAAGGCGAAAAGAACCCCGGCGAGGGGAGUGAAAAAGAACCUGAAACCGUGUACGUACAAGCAGUGGGAGCACGCUUAGGCGUGUGACUGCGUACCUUUUGUAUAAUGGGUCAGCGACUUAUAUUCUGUAGCAAGGUUAACCGAAUAGGGGAGCCGAAGGGAAACCGAGUCUUAACUGGGCGUUAAGUUGCAGGGUAUAGACCCGAAACCCGGUGAUCUAGCCAUGGGCAGGUUGAAGGUUGGGUAACACUAACUGGAGGACCGAACCGACUAAUGUUGAAAAAUUAGCGGAUGACUUGUGGCUGGGGGUGAAAGGCCAAUCAAACCGGGAGAUAGCUGGUUCUCCCCGAAAGCUAUUUAGGUAGCGCCUCGUGAAUUCAUCUCCGGGGGUAGAGCACUGUUUCGGCAAGGGGGUCAUCCCGACUUACCAACCCGAUGCAAACUGCGAAUACCGGAGAAUGUUAUCACGGGAGACACACGGCGGGUGCUAACGUCCGUCGUGAAGAGGGAAACAACCCAGACCGCCAGCUAAGGUCCCAAAGUCAUGGUUAAGUGGGAAACGAUGUGGGAAGGCCCAGACAGCCAGGAUGUUGGCUUAGAAGCAGCCAUCAUUUAAAGAAAGCGUAAUAGCUCACUGGUCGAGUCGGCCUGCGCGGAAGAUGUAACGGGGCUAAACCAUGCACCGAAGCUGCGGCAGCGACGCUUAUGCGUUGUUGGGUAGGGGAGCGUUCUGUAAGCCUGUGAAGGUGUACUGUGAGGUAUGCUGGAGGUAUCAGAAGUGCGAAUGCUGACAUAAGUAACGAUAAAGCGGGUGAAAAGCCCGCUCGCCGGAAGACCAAGGGUUCCUGUCCAACGUUAAUCGGGGCAGGGUGAGUCGACCCCUAAGGCGAGGCCGAAAGGCGUAGUCGAUGGGAAACAGGUUAAUAUUCCUGUACUUGGUGUUACUGCGAAGGGGGGACGGAGAAGGCUAUGUUGGCCGGGCGACGGUUGUCCCGGUUUAAGCGUGUAGGCUGGUUUUCCAGGCAAAUCCGGAAAA
Molecule: ribosomal RNA, 1514 nt
Filed under: Shigella flexneri
Lineage: Bacteria; Pseudomonadati; Pseudomonadota; Gammaproteobacteria; Enterobacterales; Enterobacteriaceae
Description: partial 23S ribosomal RNA
Rfam family: Bacterial large subunit ribosomal RNA
Source: RNAcentral